This 262-nucleotide non-coding RNA is filed under the name Myotis brandtii (Brandt's bat). Its description in RNAcentral is "Eukaryotic large subunit ribosomal RNA". It matches the Rfam family "Eukaryotic large subunit ribosomal RNA", at positions 970 to 1231 of the family's 3401-position model. Lineage: Eukaryota; Metazoa; Chordata; Mammalia; Chiroptera; Vespertilionidae. The record is from Rfam by way of RNAcentral.
GCCUCGGCCGAGGGCCGCCCGGUUUUUAUCCAUCCGGUAAAGCGAAUCAUUAGAGGUCUUGGGGCAGAAAGGAUCUCAACCUCGUCUCAAGCUUUCUUUCAAUGGGUCAGAAGCCCGGCUCACGGGCGUGGAGCCGGGCGUGGAAUGCGAGUGCCUAGCGGGCCACUUUUGGUCAGCAGAACUGGCGCUGAGGGGUGAACCGAACACCUGCAGAAGGGGCCCGAACCGAAGCUCAUCAGACCCCAGAAAAGGUGUUGGUUGA